This 497-nucleotide ribosomal RNA is filed under the name uncultured bacterium. RNAcentral's name for it is "partial 16S ribosomal RNA". It matches the Rfam family "Bacterial small subunit ribosomal RNA", at positions 28 to 507 of the family's 1533-position model. The record is from RNAcentral.
GAUGAACGCUGACGGCGUGCCUAAUACAUGCAAGUCGAGCGAACGGACGAGAAGCUUGCUUCUCUGAUGUUAGCGGCGGACGGGUGAGUAACACCUGGAUAACCUACCUAUAAGACUGGGAUAACUUCGGGAAACCGGAGCUAAUACCGGAUAAUAUUUUGAACCGCAUGGUUCAAAAGUGAAAGACGGUCUUGCUGUCACUUAUAGAUGGAUCCGCGCUGCAUUAGCUAGUUGGUAAGGUAACGGCUUACCAAGGCAACGAUGCAUAGCCGACCUGAGAGGGUGAUCGGCCACACUGGAACUGAGACACGGUCCAGACUCCUACGGGAGGCAGCAGUAGGGAAUCUUCCGCAAUGGGCGAAAGCCUGACGGAGCAACGCCGCGUGAGUGAUGAAGGUCUUCGGAUCGUAAAACUCUGUUAUUAGGGAAGAACAUAUGUGUAAGUAACUGUGCACAUCUUGACGGUACCUAAUCAGAAAGCCACGGCUAACUACGUG